UACGUAGGUGGCAAGCGUUGUCCGGAAUUAUUGGGCGUAAAGGGCGCGUAGGCGGUGCGGUAAGUCACCUGUGAAAUCUCCUGGCUCAACUGGGAGCUUGCAGGCGAAACUGCCGUGCUGGAGUGUGGGAGAGGUGCGUGGAAUUCCUGGUGUAGCGGUGAAAUGCGUAGAUAUCAGGAGGAACACCUGUGGCGAAAGCGGCGCACUGGACCACAACUGACGCUGAGGCGCGAAAGCGUGGGGAGCGAACAGG
Molecule: ribosomal RNA, 253 nt
Filed under: uncultured bacterium
Lineage: Bacteria
Description: partial 16S ribosomal RNA
Rfam family: Bacterial small subunit ribosomal RNA
Source: RNAcentral